UACGAAGGGGGCUAGCGUUGUUCGGAAUUACUGGGCGUAAAGGGCUCGUAGGCGGCCAACUAAGUCAGACGUGAAAUCCCUCGGCCCAACCGAGGAACUGCGCCCAGUACUGCGUUGCUUGAGGAUCCAAGGGGUGCAUGGAAUUCCCGGUGGAGCGGUGAAAUGCGUUGAUAUCGGGAGGAACUCCGGCGGCGAAAGCGGUGCACUGGUGGAUUUCUGACGCUGAGGUGCGAAAGCCAGGGGAGCAAACGGG
Molecule: ribosomal RNA, 253 nt
Filed under: uncultured prokaryote
Description: partial 16S ribosomal RNA
Rfam family: Bacterial small subunit ribosomal RNA
Source: RNAcentral